AGCGUACACGGUGGAUGCCCUGGCAGUCAGAGGCGAUGAAGGACGUGCUAAUCUGCGAUAAGCGUCGGUGAGGUGAUAUGAACCGUUAUAACCGGCGAUUUCCGAAUGGGGAAACCCAGUGUGUUUCGACACACUAUCAUUAACUGAAUCCAUAGGUUAAUGAGGCGAACCGGGGGAACUGAAACAUCUAAGUACCCCGAGGAAAAGAAAUCAACCGAGAUUCCCCCAGUAGCGGCGAGCGAACGGGGAGGAGCCCAGAGCCUGAAUCAGUGUGUGUGUUAGUGGAAGCGUCUGGAAAGGCGCGCGAUACAGGGUGACAGCCCCGUACACAAAAAUGCACAUAUUGUGAGCUCGAUGAGUAGGGCGGGACACGUGGUAUCCUGUCUGAAUAUGGGGGGACCAUCCUCCAAGGCUAAAUACUCCUGACUGACCGAUAGUGAACCAGUACCGUGAGGGAAAGGCGAAAAGAACCCCGGCGAGGGGAGUGAAAAAGAACCUGAAACCGUGUACGUACAAGCAGUGGGAGCCUCUUAAUGGGGUGACUGCGUACCUUUUGUAUAAUGGGUCAGCGACUUAUAUUCUGUAGCAAGGUUAACCGAAUAGGGGAGCCGGAGGGAAACCGAGUCUUAACUGGGCGUUAAGUUGCAGGGUAUAGACCCGAAACCCGGUGAUCUAGCCAUGGGCAGGUUGAAGGUUGGGUAACACUAACUGGAGGACCGAACCGACUAAUGUUGAAAAAUUAGCGGAUGACUUGUGGCUGGGGGUGAAAGGCCAAUCAAACCGGGAGAUAGCUGGUUCUCCCCGAAAGCUAUUUAGGUAGCGCCUCGUGAAUUCAUCUCCGGGGGUAGAGCACUGUUUCGGCAAGGGGGUCAUCCCGACUUACCAACCCGAUGCAAACUGCGAAUACCGGAGAAUGUUAUCACGGGAGACACACGGCGGGUGCUAACGUCCGUCGUGAAGAGGGAAACAACCCAGACCGCCAGCUAAGGUCCCAAAGUCAUGGUUAAGUGGGAAACGAUGUGGGAAGGCCCAGACAGCCAGGAUGUUGGCUUAGAAGCAGCCAUCAUUUAAAGAAAGCGUAAUAGCUCACUGGUCGAGUCGGCCUGCGCGGAAGAUGUAACGGGGCUAAACCAUGCACCGAAGCUGCGGCAGCGACGCUUAUGCGUUGUUGGGUAGGGGAGCGUUCUGUAAGCCUGCGAAGGUGUGCUGUGAGGCAUGCUGGAGGUAUCAGAAGUGCGAAUGCUGACAUAAGUAACGAUAAAGCGGGUGAAAAGCCCGCUCGCCGGAAGACCAAGGGUUCCUGUCCAACGUUAAUCGGGGCAGGGUGAGUCGACCCCUAAGGCGAGGCCGAAAGGCGUAGUCGAUGGGAAACAGGUUAAUAUUCCUGUACUUGGUGUUACUGCGAAGGGGGGACGGAGAAGGCUAUGUUGGCCGGGCGACGGUUGUCCCGGUUUAAGCGUGUAGGCUGGUUUUCCAGGCAAAUCCGGAAAAUCAAGGCUGAGGCGUGAUGACGAGGCACUACGGUGCUGAAGCAACAAAUGCCCUGCUUCCAGGAAAAGCCUCUAAGCAUCAGGUAACAUCAAAUCGUACCCCAAACCGACACAGGUGGUCAGGUAGAGAAUACCAAGGCGCUUGAGAGAACUCGGGUGAAGGAACUAGGCAAAAUGGUGCCGUAACUUCGGGAGAAGGCACGCUGAUAUGUAGGUGAAGCGACUUGCUCGUGGAGCUGAAAUCAGUCGAAGAUACCAGCUGGCUGCAACUGUUUAUUAAAAACACAGCACUGUGCAAACACGAAAGUGGACGUAUACGGUGUGACGCCUGCCCGGUGCCGGAAGGUUAAUUGAUGGGGUUAGCGGUAACGCGAAGCUCUUGAUCGAAGCCCCGGUAAACGGCGGCCGUAACUAUAACGGUCCUAAGGUAGCGAAAUUCCUUGUCGGGUAAGUUCCGACCUGCACGAAUGGCGUAAUGAUGGCCAGGCUGUCUCCACCCGAGACUCAGUGAAAUUGAACUCGCUGUGAAGAUGCAGUGUACCCGCGGCAAGACGGAAAGACCCCGUGAACCUUUACUAUAGCUUGACACUGAACAUUGAGCCUUGAUGUGUAGGAUAGGUGGGAGGCUUUGAAGUGUGGACGCCAGUCUGCAUGGAGCCGACCUUGAAAUACCACCCUUUAAUGUUUGAUGUUCUAACGUUGGCCCGUAAUCCGGGUUGCGGACAGUGUCUGGUGGGUAGUUUGACUGGGGCGGUCUCCUCCUAAAGAGUAACGGAGGAGCACGAAGGUUGGCUAAUCCUGGUCGGACAUCAGGAGGUUAGUGCAAUGGCAUAAGCCAGCUUGACUGCGAGCGUGACGGCGCGAGCAGGUGCGAAAGCAGGUCAUAGUGAUCCGGUGGUUCUGAAUGGAAGGGCCAUCGCUCAACGGAUAAAAGGUACUCCGGGGAUAACAGGCUGAUACCGCCCAAGAGUUCAUAUCGACGGCGGUGUUUGGCACCUCGAUGUCGGCUCAUCACAUCCUGGGGCUGAAGUAGGUCCCAAGGGUAUGGCUGUUCGCCAUUUAAAGUGGUACGCGAGCUGGGUUUAGAACGUCGUGAGACAGUUCGGUCCCUAUCUGCCGUGGGCGCUGGAGAACUGAGGGGGGCUGCUCCUAGUACGAGAGGACCGGAGUGGACGCAUCACUGGUGUUCGGGUUGUCAUGCCAAUGGCACUGCCCGGUAGCUAAAUGCGGAAGAGAUAAGUGCUGAAAGCAUCUAAGCACGAAACUUGCCCCGAGAUGAGUUCUCCCUGACUCCUUGA
Molecule: ribosomal RNA, 2788 nt
Filed under: human gut metagenome
Description: bacterial LSU rRNA
Rfam family: Bacterial large subunit ribosomal RNA
Source: RNAcentral